RNAcentral lists this ribosomal RNA (250 nucleotides) under uncultured bacterium. RNAcentral's name for it is "partial 16S ribosomal RNA". It matches the Rfam family "Bacterial small subunit ribosomal RNA", at positions 15 to 257 of the family's 1533-position model. The record is from RNAcentral.
GAUCCUGCUCAGGAUGAACGCUAGCUACAGGCUUAACACAUGCAAGUCGAGGGGCAGCGGGAUUGAAGCUUGCUUCAAUUGCCGGCGACCGGCGCACGGGUGAGUAACGCGUAUCCAACCUUCCGUACACUCAGGGAUAGCCUUUCGAAAGAAAGAUUAAUACCUGACGGUAUCUUAAGCACACAUGUAAUUAAGAUUAAAGAUUUAUCGGUGUACGAUGGGGGUGCGUUCCAUUAGGUAGUAGGCGGGG